This 499-nucleotide ribosomal RNA is filed under the name uncultured bacterium. RNAcentral describes it as "partial 16S ribosomal RNA". It matches the Rfam family "Bacterial small subunit ribosomal RNA", at positions 28 to 523 of the family's 1533-position model. The record is from RNAcentral.
GAUGAACGCUGGCGGCGUGCCUAACACAUGCAAGUCGAGCGAGAAGUUUGAAAAAUGAGUUUUCGGACAAGUGAUUCAAACGGAAAGCGGCGGACGGGUGAGUAACGCGUAGGCAACCUGCCCCGUGCAGAGGGACAGCCUCGGGAAACCGGGAUUAAGACCUCAUGAUAUCGGGUUAUCACAUGGUAAUCCGGUCAAAGAUUUAUCGGCAUGGGAUGGGCCUGCGUCUGAUUAGCUGGUUGGUGGGGUAACGGCCUACCAAGGCGACGAUCAGUAGCAGAACUGGGAGGUUCAUCUGCCACAUUGGAACUGAGACACGGUCCAAACUCCUACGGGAGGCAGCAGUGAGGAAUAUUGCACAAUGGGCGAAAGCCUGAUGCAGCAACGCCGCGUGAGCGAAGAAGGCCUUUGGGUCGUAAAGCUCUGUUCUUGGGGAAGAAACAAAUGACGGUACCCUUGGAGGAAGCCCCGGCUAACUACGUGCCAGCAGCCGCGGUAA